RNAcentral lists this long non-coding RNA (1202 nucleotides) under Homo sapiens (human). Its description in RNAcentral is "HSALNT0217342". The record is from RNAcentral. Lineage: Eukaryota; Metazoa; Chordata; Mammalia; Primates; Hominidae.
AGUACUGAAGGCAGAGACCAUGAAAAAGGAAACUGCCAAGUUCUGGCAGGGUGCCGUGUCCACAGGGAUGGAGAGGAGAAAAAAGUCCUUGGCAUUACUUAAAGAAGGCCAUUAGAUAUAUGUCACGUGUGAGAGUGAGGUUUGCAGCUGGGAAGUAAGCCUCUCUACCAUGGAGCAGAGCCAGCCCCCACCUUAAGUAUGGCACCUUCCACAAAGAGCAUCUUGCUCAGGCACGCCAUGAGUUAAUGGUCUGGAGAAAACUUUAUAAGCAAUCAUAAAUAAACUAAACACAAACAAGAAAUACUAGACCAAUAUGCCACUUUACUGGCCCAGCAAAACCUCCUUUGGGGACAGUUCUCAGCUGGGGCAUUGCUGUCUCCUUCAAUGGACAUUUGCUGUUGUUGUAAAAAUAAGUAAACAUUGCUUGCGGACAAAUGCGCAGGACUCUCUGACCCAAGGAGUUUAUAGGAAACUGCCUCCCAGUUUUUGGACUACCUGACCACUUAGACAACUUGAGAAAGAGCUCCUGCGGCCUGGCAGGUCCUGGGGCGGGGAUCAUCGUCCUGGAAAGCUCAGUUCUGCGGGUGCUAGGAGUAGAGUCUGCAUCUUGUGGGCUCCUCUCCUAGUCAGCUUCCUAAGUGGCAGCGCUGCAGGACCAAGGAUAGAAAUUGUUGAGUGAAGAGCGGAUUGGACUUGAAAACAGAUGCUACCUUGGCCUAUAAGAGAAAAGAAGGAAUCUCUGGGCACAGAUAUAGAUAAAAUUAUGAGCAAAAGUGGUGAAGCAAGGAGUAGCUGCAAUCCAAGUAUAUACAUGGUUGUGAAGUUAAGCACUGUGGGAGGGGCUGUUGCUGCGGCAGCUGCGGUGGCACCUCUAAUCUGCCGCUAGGUGGCAGGAGAAUUCCACCAUCGCCACUAACCGCAUCUGGGACUUUGGCUUCACCCUAGAAGCGGGAUAUGGGAUUGGAUUUCUUCCUUCUGAUAAGACAGUAUGCGGUGGCAAGUAGGGCUGAUGGUCCCCUGUCCACAGGAAGAGAGUAUGACCACAAGAACGUCCUUUUGUGUACACCAGCCUGGUGUGUGCUUGAAUAUCCUUCCUCAAAACACUCAGGCCAGUUCAUUCCCUUGUCCCUUUCCUGCCUAGACCAGGUUCAUAGCCAAGGGCUGACCGCGGUUGUUCAGCAACUUCAGGCGUUGCCGGCUGC